RNAcentral lists this ribosomal RNA (254 nucleotides) under uncultured bacterium. RNAcentral describes it as "partial 16S ribosomal RNA". It matches the Rfam family "Bacterial small subunit ribosomal RNA", at positions 524 to 776 of the family's 1533-position model. The record is from RNAcentral.
UACGAAGGGGGCUAGCGUUGCUCGGAAUCACUGGGCGUAAAGCGCACGUAGGCGGGCUCUUAAGUCGGUGGUGAAAUCCUGGAGCUCAACUCCAGAACUGCCUUCGAUACUGAGAGUCUUCGAGUCCGGGAGAGGUGAGUGGAACUGCGAGUGUAGAGGUGAAAUUCGUAGAUAUUCGCAAGAACACCAGUGGCGAAGGCGGCUCACUGGCCCGGUACUGACGCUGAGGUGCGAAAGCGUGGGGAGCAAACAGG